Long non-coding RNA from Suricata suricatta (meerkat), 587 nucleotides. RefSeq lists it as uncharacterized. The transcript is spliced from 3 exons. The record is from RefSeq and is a predicted model, not a curated record. NCBI's taxonomy places the organism in Eukaryota, Metazoa, Chordata, Mammalia, Carnivora, Herpestidae.
UACAUGAGGAUGAUGUGAAGGCUUCUAGUUGCCUAGCAAUGGCUGGCAGAAAAUCGAUGCCCCACUCCGCAGCACAGCAGUCGAAUAUUGAUUAUCUGGGUGAUUUGGAGAUUUGCUCCCUGGAUGAACAAAUUUUUCCCCCUGGGUAAUUGAUCAGAGGCAUGACAGAAGAUCCAUGGGUGGGCUGGAGUGAAGUCGCUGUAUCCCAUGUGCAUUCAUCUGAGGCCCCAGGCACAGCAGGAACCCACAGGACACCCUUCUAGAGAUGGAUAAGUCCAAGAGGCAAGCUCAAGGGCAUGGCACUUGGCACCCCUGUCUACGUCACCACUCAGAAGGAAGCCCUCCCUCCUCACCUGCACCUCUUGUGGUGUGAGGCCCAACCGUAAGUGUCACACGGCAUUACCGCACCUUGGAACAUCCCUAUCCUGAUCUCCGCGCAGCAGCUGACAUGCCAAGUGACAGCGCCGCUUCCUCUAAGGACACUUUCCGGUAAUGUAGCUGAUUAAAAUAUAGCUGACUGCAGGGAGGCAGCGGUGCUCCCGCCGGCCGGGCUGAGCCAGGGAAACGCAGAGAUAAUGAAUAACGGU